This 24-nucleotide non-coding RNA is filed under the name Arabidopsis thaliana (thale cress). Lineage: Eukaryota; Viridiplantae; Streptophyta; Magnoliopsida; Brassicales; Brassicaceae. The record is from RNAcentral.
UCCAAAUAAAACCCUAAUUCCCCU